ACUGUCAUGUUCACACCGCCCCAACAAACACCAACAAACGAGUGACGUCUGACUGGGAAAAUUCCACAACUACACACGUGUAACCAUGUUAACAAUAUUGUCAGGCAAGUUUAUUAUAUUAAUAAUGUAUCCUAGUAUCAUAUAUAUUUUCAUUGUAUUAAAGUAUUGAGGCAAAACAAAAAUACUAACCUGAAAUCCGAAGCGCUGUAGCCAUAGAUCUGAUCGUAGCCUAACCUAUUGGUUGGUAUACACUGGUUUUUAAACUUUUUUUAGCGCGACCCUUUUUAUUAACGAGACCCAUAAGCAUAUAAAACCAUGUAGCUAAACAAGCCAAAACGAAUUAUUAAAAAAACGAAACUGAAGGUAAACCUGCGUUGCUCUCAUGGUGGUUAUAACGUCGUUACCUCUAUCUUUCGGUGAAGUGGAGCAGCUGCUCUUGCUGAAUGGCACGGAUUGCACUAUGGACUAUUGUACCUUUUGUAUAUUUUUAUUUUUAACUGUAUUUUAUUUUUUAUAACGAGCAAGCUGCGAUGUCACGUUUCCAGUACUUUGUUGUGUGUGCGUGAGGCGCGGGCGCGAUCAAACAGCUGUCUAUUCAGGGGACUUGCCUCAUCGUCAUGGCAACGGUUCGUGAUCAGGUCAGAUUACGUGUUUGUACGAGUUUGUUGCCGUUUGUUGGAAAACUGCUCACACCGCGCAGACAUUCCACGACCCGACAAACGCCGAUUAAACAUGUUCAGUCGGGUGAAAACCGACUCCGACCAACGCCAACAAACGCCAACAGGGUUAUCACACCGAUCCAACAAACUCCAACAGACGAGUUUGUUGGCGUUUGUUGGCUGUUGUCGGGGCGGUGUGAAUUGGCCUUAAGACAUAAUUGUACACCAUUGUCAUGGUUACUAAAGCAUGUCAAAAGGUUACUAAGCACUUUGUUACUAAGCACUUUUUUUUAUUCUGAAUGUAUGGUAUUUUGUUUACUAUUUGUACUGUCAUGACAGCGAUGGUGCUGUCAGUUUACCUUGUUGUUGCAUCUUCAAAAGUGCAGAAUAAAAUGUGACACUGAAUUUGAAA
Long non-coding RNA from Megalobrama amblycephala (Wuchang bream), 1071 nucleotides. RefSeq lists it as uncharacterized. The record is from RefSeq and is a predicted model, not a curated record. The transcript has 2 exons. Lineage: Eukaryota; Metazoa; Chordata; Actinopteri; Cypriniformes; Xenocyprididae.